This 530-nucleotide ribosomal RNA is filed under the name uncultured bacterium. RNAcentral describes it as "partial 16S ribosomal RNA". It matches the Rfam family "Bacterial small subunit ribosomal RNA", at positions 355 to 874 of the family's 1533-position model. The record is from RNAcentral.
UGGGGAAUAUUGGACAAUGGGCGAAAGCCUGAUCCAGCAAUGCCGCGUGUGUGAAGAAGGCCUUCGGGUUGUAAAGCACUUUUGUCCGGAAAGAAAUCCUUGGCUCUAAUACAGUCGGGGGAUGACGGUACCGGAAGAAUAAGCACCGGCUAACUACGUGCCAGCAGCCGCGGUAAUACGUAGGGUGCAAGCGUUAAUCGGAAUUACUGGGCGUAAAGCGUGCGCAGGCGGUUUGCUAAGACCGAUGUGAAAUCCCCGGGCUCAACCUGGGAACUGCAUUGGUGACUGGCAGGCUAGAGUAUGGCAGAGGGGGGUAGAAUUCCACGUGUAGCAGUGAAAUGCGUAGAGAUGUGGAGGAAUACCGAUGGCGAAGGCAGCCCCCUGGGCCAAUACUGACGCUCAUGCACGAAAAGCGUGGGGGAGCAAAACAGGAUUAGAUACCCUGGUAGUCCACGCCCUAAAACGAUGUCAACUAGUUGUUGGGGAUUCAUUUCCUUAGUAACGUAGCUAACGCGUGAAGUUGACCGCCU